Long non-coding RNA from Apis cerana (Asiatic honeybee), 2652 nucleotides. RefSeq lists it as uncharacterized. The record is from RefSeq and is a predicted model, not a curated record. NCBI's taxonomy places the organism in Eukaryota, Metazoa, Arthropoda, Insecta, Hymenoptera, Apidae.
UUUGAACUAUUUUCGAUAUCUUCAAUUAUUAUUAAUAUUAUUUAAUAUCGAUAUCAUUUAAUUAAUGUAUUUCGAUUAUUUAAUCGAUACUACUAUCGAUGUACAUUUAUAUACGACUUGUUCAAUUGUUAUUUUAGAAUUGUGCUAUGAAUUUGCAAUAAUAUUUGAAAUUUCAAAUCUUCAAUUACUGAAAACAUAUUUUUUUAAUAUACACGAAAUUUAUAAGCUUUUAUUUGCUGAUUAUAAUGAAUGAAGAGUAUAGUUUAUUUCUAUUUUGAACGGAUCUGUUACAAGAGAAAGGUUAUGGCACAAUGAAUCAAAAUAUUCUUUUUUUUUUGCACAAUGCACUGAUACGCAUGAGAAUUAUAACAUUUUGAUAACAUUGUGACUAGACAAAGGCGAGAUUAAUAUCGCACGCGUGCAUAAUGCUUGUAUGACCUUAAUUGCUAUUAGCAUGCCACGCGAUUAUUACUCGUGAAACAUGAUCGAUUCAGUUGAAUUAUUUGAUCACUCUUAGUGAACGAAAAAAUAAUACUAUAAAAUUAUAUUGUCGCAACAAAAAUUAUUAAAACAAACAAUUUCCAAUUAUAAAAAUGAUUUUAUAUAGUUGGAAUCAUUUUCUUUUUUUUUCAAAAAUACAGUAAUUAUAAAUAAAAAUGCAGUAAUCACAUAUUUUUAAAUUCCUUUACAUUCUUUUGUAUUUUUAUAUCAUUAAUAUAAUCAAUAAAAAUAUUAUUUCACUUAUUUUUUAAUUUUUUAAUUUUUUUUUGUUAAAAAGAAAAAGAUUAUGUAGAUUAACAAAAAUAAUAGUUUAGAAUUUAUUUUAAAAUUAAUUUUAAAAUAUGUUUCUAUUAGAUUCCAAGAGACUUUGAUGAUCAUCAACACAAGAAUUUCAAAUGCCUCAUUCAAUGAGCAAUGCAAAAGAUAAAAUGUAUUUUCUAAUAAACUUAUACAAAAAAUAUCGAAAAUGAAUCAUAAAGGUUGAAAAAUGUAUGUGAUAAAUAAUCAAAAUUCAUCAAAAAUCAUUGAUUAUGCUUUCAACAUUUUUUAAAUUCAUAAAUCUAUUAAAAAAUCAUUUGAAUACUUUUUACAUUUUAUAAAGAAUAUAUAAAAAUAUUAAAAUAUAUAAAAAUAUAUAAAUAUUAUAAAAAUAACGAAAAAUAAUAUAUAGGGGUUGAUUAUCUUUUAAACUUACAAAAACAUUAUAUGAAUGUUUUUUUAUUGUCCUUCAUUCCACAAUUGUGAUGAUUAUCAUCCAUAAUUGUAUGAAGAUAAUAAUGAAUGAAGAUAAAUAAAAUUGAUUAAAAAUGUUAUCAUGAAGUAAACGAAUUAUCAGUUUUUUUUAAAUUCAUGAAGAAAUUAUCAGAUCAAUCUUUUAUUAUCCUUGAACAUAAUCAUGAUAUAUCAAAUAAUAAAAAAUAUAGUUUUCAUUAUUUUUUUUAAAUUUAUAAUGAGAUCAUUAGAACAUUAUUUUAUUAUUCUUGAUCAAAGCAUGAUCGUGUGUAACAUAUACAAAAGUAAUAUAAAAUAAAGUAACGUCAAAAUGUUACCGUUAAUUAUUCUUGCGUUUACAAAGCUUACGAUUAAGCUUACGAUUAGAAUUUUGCAGAGAUCGAAACGUAAAUCCGAAAAAAUUCGAUGUAUAUUUUUUCAUUAUUUAUCAAGAAAAAGUCGCAUAAUUUGCUCUGUCUCACCGCGCUACGUUGCUCACUAUACGCACCACGCGCGACUAACUUCAAAGAUUUCGUAUCGCGGUGAUUUUAUGCGAAUACAAAUAAGAAUCGAACGUUAAAAUAUAGUUAAAAUGAAACUUGUAUCAUUAAUGCAAAAUCAUUAACAAUACAAUAAAUAAUUUCUUUGAAAUUUUUCUUGAUUUUUAAUGAAAAUGUUUAAAAAUUAAAAAAUCAAAUUAAAUUAAAUUUUAUAACAUUAUUAUUUUUGCAGUAUAGAUAAAAUUUAUUUCUUGAAAGUUAGAAUUAAAUAAAAAAAGAUUUAAAAGAAAGAUUAAUAAUAGAUAAGAUUACUGAUUGUCUUUAAACAAAAAUAGUGGAUUUUUCAAACUCCAAAAAAAGAAAUUAAAUAAAUUAUGAAAAAAUUGUUUGUUUAAAAGAAAUAAUAAGUUUUUUAUAGCUUUUAGUUAUUUUAAGAGAAUAAUUUUGUUAAUUCUAAAACAAAUUAAAAAUCAAUUUAAAUUAAAAAUUCAAAAUAUUAAGAAAACUCCCAAUUAAUAUUUAAUAAAAUAAAACAAUUUUGUUUCCAUAAAAAAAUAAUUAGAAUUUUUAUAAUUUCUUUUCUUUUUUCAUUUUUUAGAAGAAAAAAGAAUAUUUUUGUAAAGUAAUUUUGAUAAGGAAUUAUUUUGUAUCAAUAAUAAAUUGUUCAUUUUAUUUCACAAAACUUUCUUCUUCACGGUUUCUGAGUUGGAGAGAGUUUUAGGAACAUAUAAAUAUAUUCUGCUCAUGUUAUUGACCUUACUGCAAAUAAUGUUCAAAGAAUAUUAAAAAUGAAUUCGAACGAUCAGAGAUAAUUGUAUGAAUUUUGAUUUAAUGUUGGAUAUGUUUAAAAAUGAUUGGACAAACUAUACGGUUUUUAAAAUGAUUUUUUUCGAUUCAUUAUAUAUCUUCAAUAAUUUCGCAAUAAAUAUUUUAAAGUUUA